UCGAACGAGAACGGUCCUAGCUUGCUAGGAUGUCAGCUAAGUGGCGGACGGGUGAGUAAUGUAUAGUUAAUCUGCCCUUUAGAGAGGAAUAACUACUGGAAACGGUAGCUAAUACCUCAUACUCCUUCUUUUUUAAUAAGAGUUGGGAAAUGUUUUUUCGCUAAAGGAUGAGACUAUAUGGUAUCAGGUAGUUGGUGGGGUAAGAGCCCACCAAGCCAAUGACGCCUAGCUGGUCUGAGAGGAUGAUCAGCCACACUGGAACUGAGACACGGUCCAGACUCCUACGGGAGGCAGCAGUGGGGAAUAUUGCACAAUGGAGGGAACUCUGAUGCAGCAACGCCGCGUGGAGGAUGACACAUUUCGGUGCGUAAACUCCUUUUAUAUGGGAAGAUAAUGACGGUACCAUAUGAAUAAGCACCGGCUAACUCCGUGCCAGCAGCCGCGGUAUACGGAGGGUGCAAGCGUUACUCGGAAUCACUGGGCGUAAAGCGCGCGCAGGCGGUUUAUUAAUUGAUGUGAANCUCGCU
Molecule: ribosomal RNA, 527 nt
Filed under: uncultured prokaryote
Description: bacterial SSU rRNA
Rfam family: Bacterial small subunit ribosomal RNA
Source: RNAcentral